GUGUAUGGUUGCGCGUUGCGCAUUAAUAGGGAACGCGGUUAAAAUCCGCGGCAGUCCCGCUACUGUGAUUAGCGACGAAACCCCUUAAACGCCACUGGGCUGUUCUACGCCCGGGAAGGCUGGGGAAGUAGGCUGAGCUAUAAGCCAGGAGACCUGCCAUGCAUC
RNAcentral lists this non-coding RNA (165 nucleotides) under human gut metagenome. The record is from RNAcentral.